RNAcentral lists this ribosomal RNA (403 nucleotides) under uncultured bacterium. RNAcentral describes it as "bacterial SSU rRNA". It matches the Rfam family "Bacterial small subunit ribosomal RNA", at positions 355 to 774 of the family's 1533-position model. The record is from RNAcentral.
UAGGGAAUAUUGCUUAAUGGGCGAAAGCCUGAAGCAGCAACGCCGCGUGUGCGAUGAAGGUCUUCGGAUUGUAAAGCACUUUUUGAGGGGAUGAGGAAGGACAGUACCCUCAGAAUAAGCCUCGGCUAACUACGUGCCAGCAGCCGCGGUAAAACGUAGGAGGCAAGCGUUAUCCGGAUUUACUGGGCGUAAAGCGCGUGUAGGCGGCGCGGUAAGUUGGAUGUGAAAGCUCCCGGCUUAACUGGGAGAGGUCGUUCAAUACUGUCGUGCUAGAGGAUGGGAGAGGGAGGUGGAAUUCCGGGUGUAGUGGUGAAAUGCGUAGAUAUCCGGAGGAACACCAGUGGCGAAGGCGACCUCCUGGCCCAUUUCUGACGCUCAGACGCGAAAGCUAGGGGAGCGAACG